Carassius carassius (crucian carp) is the source of this 78-nucleotide non-coding RNA. The record is from the annotation of a RefSeq genome assembly. NCBI's taxonomy places the organism in Eukaryota, Metazoa, Chordata, Actinopteri, Cypriniformes, Cyprinidae.
GUAGUUGUGGCCGAGAGGUUAAGGCGAUGGACUCGAAAUCCAUUGGGAUCUCGGCAGGUUCAAACCCUGCCGACUACG